RNAcentral lists this ribosomal RNA (555 nucleotides) under uncultured Caryophanales bacterium. Its description in RNAcentral is "bacterial SSU rRNA". It matches the Rfam family "Bacterial small subunit ribosomal RNA", at positions 371 to 916 of the family's 1533-position model. Lineage: Bacteria; Bacillati; Bacillota; Bacilli; Caryophanales. The record is from RNAcentral.
AUGGGCGAAAGCCUGACGGAGCGACGCCGCGUGAGCGAAGAAGGCCUUCGGGUCGUAAAGCUCUGUUGUGAGGGACGAAGGAGCGCCGUUCGAAGAGGGCGGCGCGGUGACGGUACCUCACGAGAAAGCCCCGGCUAACUACGUGCCAGCAGCCGCGGUAAUACGUAGGGGGCGAGCGUUGUCCGGAAUUAUUGGGCGUAAAGCGCGCGCAGGCGGUCUCUUAAGUCUGAUGUGAAAGCCCACGGCUCAACCGUGGAGGGUCAUUGGAAACUGGGGGACUUGAGGGCAGGAGAGGAGAGCGGAAUUCCACGUGUAGCGGUGAAAUGCGUAGAGAUGUGGAGGAACACCAGUGGCGAAGGCGGCUCUCUGGCCUGCACCUGACGCUGAGGCGCGAAAGCGUGGGGAGCAAACAGGAUUAGAUACCCUGGUAGUCCACGCCGUAAACGAUGAGUGCUAAGUGUUAGAGGGGUCACACCCUUUAGUGCUGCAGCUAACGCGAUAAGCACUCCGCCUGGGGAGUACGGCCGCAAGGCUGAAACUCAAAGGAAUUGACGG